RNAcentral lists this ribosomal RNA (468 nucleotides) under uncultured bacterium. RNAcentral describes it as "partial 16S ribosomal RNA". It matches the Rfam family "Bacterial small subunit ribosomal RNA", at positions 28 to 507 of the family's 1533-position model. The record is from RNAcentral.
GACGAACGCUGGCGGUGGGCUUAACACAUGCCAGUCGAACGGAAAGACCCUGCGUGCGUGGGGUUAUCGAUUGGCGAACGGGUGAGUAACACGAGAGUAACCGGCCCUUGAUUUUGGGAUAACUUCAGGAAACUGGGGCUAAGACCGGAUAGGAUCCCCUCCUGGAGGGUGGGGGGGGGAAAGUUUCGGCGGUUGGGGAUGGAUGCGCGGCUGAUCAGCUUGUUGGUGGGGUAGUGGCUUACCAAGGCUGUGACGGGUAGCCGGCCUGAGAGGGUGACCGGCCACCUUGGGACUGAGAUACGGACCAGAGUCCUACGGGAGGCAGCAGUCGCGAAUCUUGCCCAAUGGGCGGACGCCUGAUGCGGCAGCGCCGCGUGCGGGAUGACGGCCUUCGGGUUAUGAACAGCUUUCGCCUGUGACGAAGCGUGAGUGACGGUACUGAGUAAAGAAGCACCGGCUAACUACGUG